AAGUUUGGAAAUUGGUUUAAUUUUUCAGAAUGGUUUAAUUUAAUUUUUAGAAUAGUUUAGUAUUUAAAUAAUAUCCUUAGAUAAUGCUGUUAGCUAAACACUAAAACUAAAAGUAGUUCCUUCUGAAAGAAGGAACAUACAUCCCCAAUGACUACAGUUAUUGAAUGUUUUAUUCUGGAUCAACAACACGGAUAAAUAUUUUUUGAGAAUGAAAAAUUCAAUUUUAAUAGCAUUUUCUGUCUUCAUAAUAUAUUCUUGAUACUGCAUUUUCUAGCUAGUGCAACAAGAAGUCUUAAAUUUCUGAGCUGUAUUCAAAAUUUAGGUUUUAGCACCCAUGGAAAUAUUUACAUGAACUCUGCUUUAUCCCUGUUUAUUUACUAAUGGCCUUUGCCACUGUUAUCACUGCACCCUGCUUUUCCUUGCAAAUAACCUUGUUUUUUACUGCCUUGAUAUAAACAGUUUGAUAAAACAGCUCUUUUCCCAUAAAAACUAGGAAAACAAAAGAAUCCUUGAAAUAACCUUGAAAUGGCUAACAAACAAACUGAAACUGAUUUUUUAUUCUAUGCUCAGAAGCUUUAGAAAAAUGUGUGCACGUAACAAAAAUCACAAGGGCAUGGAGUAUUGCUACACAGGCAAUAUCAGAUUGAUGCAGAAGUCUACUUGAACUGACAUCAAGGCAAAUUUUUAAGAUAGUAUGACUUUAGAGGCAUAGUUUUUCUUUUCUUUUUUUUGUUUUUUGGAUCUCUUUUUAAAAUUGUUUUGGCAAUGGUUAAAUAAAAAGAAAGUGGAAGGUAAUAAAGAGAGCACAGGCUCAAAGGAAGCGAAAAACACAAAACUUCCUGUUUACUCAUAUCAAAAAGUAAGACAACUCUAAGGAAUUAGUUUUGUUAAAAAGGAAUAGGAGUGAGCAAGUCUGGUCACAUUUUUGUUUUUCAAAUUGCAAGCAUUUUGGUCUGAAAGCCAUAAAAUGAAGUGGUAUUUUUUUUUUCUCAAAAUAGUACCGAUUUUCUUUUUUCAGACACCUCUACUGAUGUCCUUUGGUGUCUGUGGAAAAUAAAGAACUGUCUAAGAUCCUGGAAGUCAGCACACUUGCUGAAGAAUUUGAGUCGCCUACGUUAUAGGGAUAUAAUAAUGUCCACAAGUGCCAGCCUGAUGAAGAAGAUACUCCACAUUCUUAGCAAGGUAAGUUUUGAUACCACACCAGUGAGCUGCAGCCAUAUUUACGUACUGUGCUAUAACCUGAGGAACAUUGUUGCCACUGAUCAAGUGCCCAGUCCAGUUGGAGACAAUCAAUGACUAACUCAGUAGUCUUUUUGCUUAAUUAAAAAAAGAUUUCCCUCCAUCCUUUCUAAUAAAUUUAUGUCCACUGACA
This 1372-nucleotide long non-coding RNA is filed under the name Anser cygnoides (Swan goose). Its description in RNAcentral is "lncRNA (ENSACDG00005004288.1)". Lineage: Eukaryota; Metazoa; Chordata; Aves; Anseriformes; Anatidae. The record is from RNAcentral.